RNAcentral lists this small RNA (79 nucleotides) under Flavobacterium omnivorum. Its description in RNAcentral is "Flavo-1 RNA". The record is from RNAcentral. Lineage: Bacteria; Pseudomonadati; Bacteroidota; Flavobacteriia; Flavobacteriales; Flavobacteriaceae.
AGUGAAUUUCAUUUGCAGUGAAAAUCCUUUUAUUUUUUCUUUAAAAAAUAAAAGAUUGUUGCGUAAAGUCCCAACCGAA